Molecule: long non-coding RNA, 665 nt
Filed under: Callithrix jacchus (white-tufted-ear marmoset)
Lineage: Eukaryota; Metazoa; Chordata; Mammalia; Primates; Cebidae
Description: lncRNA (ENSCJAG00000079807.1)
Source: RNAcentral
UGGAAAAAAUCCAUAUUCUGAUUGCCAAUAUGGCAAGAACUGAUCUCUUUCCUACUCUCGAUCCACAUAUUUCUAGGGAAUCUGGUGACAUUGGAUGAGGUGAUCUAGAAGAAAUCCUGGAAGAGGAAAUAUUUGGUCUGAGACCUGAACAAUGAGAAAAAGUAGGUCUAUGGAAAUCUGAGGAAAACAUUCCAUGCAAAGAAAAGACACGGCAAGAGUUGGGGAUAGAAAUAGACUUUGCAUUUUGUAUCAAUUGAAAGAAGACAUAGUAGCGGAAGUAUAAUGAACAGUGAGGACAGGAGUAAGAGCAGAAUCAUUCAGCUUUCUUGACAAAUUUGGGUCCCAACUUUGGGCUAUUGAGAUCACAACGCUUUUUUGGAGGAAUGACAACAGGAGUCUGGUGGGCUGACUGGUCAGGUACAGUACAGCUUGUUGAGGCACGGUUUUGCUCUGUUGCUCAGGCUGGAGUGCACUGGUGCUGUAACAGCUCGCGGUAGCCUUAAACGCAAGGGCUCAUGCACCCAUCUCAGCCUCUCAAACAGGUGGAACUACAGAGAAUUAAUCAGAAUUUGCUGUUGGCAGUAGGGAGAACACAACAACAGAAAAUAUGUAUUCUUGAAAAAAUACUUAAAACCCUGGAUCCUGUGCCACCCUGGUCCAUGUGA